AACGAACGUUAGCGGCGCGCUUAACACAUGCAAGUCGAGGGGCAGCGGGGAUAGCAAUAUCUGCCGGCGACCGGCAAACGGGUGCGGAACACGUACGCAACCUUCCCAGAACAGGUGAAUAGCCCUCCGAAAGGAGGAUUAAUACACCGUAAUAUAUAGAGAUGGCAUCAUUUUUAUAUUAAAGGUCGCAAGAUCGGUUUUGGAUGGGCGUGCGCCUGAUUAGGUAGUUGGUGNGGGUAACGGCCCACCAAGCCUUCGAUCAAUAACUGGUGUGAGAGCACGACCAGUCACACGGGCACUGAGACACGGGCCCGACUCCUACGGGAGCAGCAGUAAGGAAUAUUGGUCAAUGGACGAAAGUCUGAACCAGCCAUGCCGCGUGAGGGAUGAAGGCCCUC
This 398-nucleotide ribosomal RNA is filed under the name uncultured bacterium. RNAcentral describes it as "bacterial SSU rRNA". It matches the Rfam family "Bacterial small subunit ribosomal RNA", at positions 29 to 419 of the family's 1533-position model. The record is from RNAcentral.